This is a long non-coding RNA of Rhincodon typus (whale shark), 982 nucleotides long. RefSeq lists it as uncharacterized. Lineage: Eukaryota; Metazoa; Chordata; Chondrichthyes; Orectolobiformes; Rhincodontidae. The transcript has 3 exons. The record is from RefSeq and is a predicted model, not a curated record.
UCGAGUCUCCCUUCACGGGAAAUUACUGCCUGUGUUUGUAACACAGGGCGACUGAUGUUGGGAGAGAGAGCUGGGGCGGACCUCUGACGGCAGAAGGCAAACAUUGUUUGCUGUCGCGUUUUAGCAGCGUUGGCUGGGUCUGGUUAUGAAGCUGAGGGAUAUCUCCUAUUUGUGAGAGAGAGAGAGAGAAGGCGAGAGGAGAGUGAAUGAGAUCCGGAAACUGGGGAUGAGGACCGAUGGCAGACCGGGACCCAGAAGUGAUAGUGUUUAAACGCCGUUUCCUGAAACUCCAUCAUCAUUUGCACCGGCUCCGCUGAAUCCUACAUUUGCAAAAAUAUUGAUAAUAUUUAAACACACGUUUCUCCAGCAAAUGCAGUCUUAUGGAUUAAGACCUGGCGCAUGGAGAUAAUCAUAUACUUCUGUUCAGUUAAUCUUUUCUAUCUACCUCUCAUUCUCGGGAGCUCCAUCAGGAUUGGUCUAGAAGGGAACAACUCUAGCCUCUAUGCCAGCUCUAUUGGCCGACAACCAGGUAUAUAGGGGAGGAAGCUCAAGGAGAGGGAGUGGAGGCUGCAAGAGAGAAUCAGAAUGUGAGAGAAGCUGCAAGGGAUUGGACAAUGAGGAUAUCAAAUAGAGAGAACAGUUUUCAGUGUGACAACAAAGAAAUGCUCAACCAGGAAAACCUGAAAUCAUGGAGAUAAUUAAAUCCUUGAAAUGCAUGUGGACCUCUAGCUCAAAGCUGCAUAUAUUCAGGUGCUGGCAGGAAACAUAGUGGAUGUUAUUGUAAUGAACGCUGUUAAUUGUUAAAUUUAAAACUGAGAUUCUUGAGAUGCAGUAACAAUGGUAGUAACUACCCAGUUAAAAUCUUCUGGUACCAUAUCAGUUGCGACCUCACCAGCCUGUGGAAGAUAGAUUUUGGGUGAUGGCUUUUUGUGUGCAGAAAUGUAUCAGUUGUAUUUUAAAAAAAAGUUUCCUUAUAAAUUUA